CGCCGACCCGGGGGGAAGGUUGGGCGCCCGGAAAUUCUCGGGAAAGUGAAGCGGCGCGGGCAGCGCAAAGCCUUUGGGGACAAUGCUGAAGCUCUCUGCAAUCCUGGAAACCUCUUCGAGAGGGUUGCUGUGCCUUGGAAGGAAUCCACUAGAUGGGAGUGAGAGAAUAUCCAAAUGCGCUGUAACAGCUCCAGGUCUUACAUGCGCUGCAGAUUUUCCGAUGCGUUGCAUACUUUCACCACAUGAUGGUGCCAAC
Molecule: long non-coding RNA, 256 nt
Organism: Echinops telfairi (small Madagascar hedgehog)
Lineage: Eukaryota; Metazoa; Chordata; Mammalia; Afrosoricida; Tenrecidae
Exons: 3
Source: RefSeq, a predicted model, not a curated record